Molecule: ribosomal RNA, 919 nt
Filed under: uncultured archaeon
Lineage: Archaea
Description: bacterial SSU rRNA
Rfam family: Archaeal small subunit ribosomal RNA
Source: RNAcentral
UUCCGGUUGAUCCCGCCGGAGGCCAUUGCUAUCGGAGUUCGAUUUAGCCAUGCUAGUCGCACGGGUUUAGACCCGUGGCGAAAAGCUCAGUAACACGUGGCCAAACUACCCUAUGGAUCAGAAUAACCUCGGGAAACUGAGGAUAAUUCUGAAUACCGCUCCUGCACUGGGAUGUGCGGAGCACGAAACGCUACGGCGCCGUAGGAUGUGGCUGCGGCCGAUUAGGUUGACGGUGGGGUAACGGCCCACCGUGCCCAUAAUCGGUACGGGUUGUGAGAGCAAGAGCCCGGAGACGGUAUCUGAGACAAGAUACCGGGCCCUACGGGGCGCAGCAGGCGCGAAACCUUUACACUGCACGACAGUGCGAUAAGGGAACUCCGAGUGCGAGGGCAUAGAGCCCUCGCUUUUGUACACCGUAAGGUGGUGCACGAAUAAGGGCUGGGCAAGACCGGUGCCAGCCGCCGCGGUAAUACCGGCAGCCCAAGUGAUGGCCGAUAUUAUUGGGCCUAAAGCGUCCGUAGCUGGCCGGACAAGUCCGUUGGGAAAUCCGCGCGCUUAACGCGCGGGCGUCCAGCGGAAACUGUCCGGCUUGGGGCCGGAAGACCUGAGGGGUACGUCCGGGGUAGGAGUGAAAUCCUGUAAUCUCGGACGGACCGCCUGUGGCGAAAGCGCCUCAGGAGGACGGACCCGACAGUGAGGGACGAAAGCCAGGGUCUCGAACCGGAUUAGAUACCCGGGUAGUCCUGGCUGUAAACGAUGUCCGCUAGGUGUGAUGCAGGCUACGGGCCUGCGCUGUGCCGUAGGGAAGCCGUGAAGCGGACCGCCUGGGAAGUACGUCUGCAAGGAUGAAACUUAAAGGAAUUGGCGGGGGAGCACUACAACCGGAGGAGCCUGCGGUUUAAUUGGAUUCAACGCCGGA